Molecule: non-coding RNA, 148 nt
Filed under: Pan paniscus (pygmy chimpanzee)
Lineage: Eukaryota; Metazoa; Chordata; Mammalia; Primates; Hominidae
Also listed under: 1 other name
Source: Rfam by way of RNAcentral
GCCAAGUGUGGUGGCACAUGCCUGUAGUCCUAGCUACUUGGGAGGCUGAGGCAGGAGGAUUGCUUGAGCCCAGGAGUUUGGGGCUGCAGUGAGCUAUCAUUGCACCACUGUACUCCAGCCUGGGUAACAGAGUGAGACCCUGUCUCUA